CCCUUAGAUGUUCUGGGCCGCACACGCGCUACACUGAAGGAGGCAGCGUGUACUCCUGGAUCGAAAGAUUUGGGUAACCCGCGAAUCUCCUUCGUGCUAGGGAUUGAGGUUUGCAAUUAUCCUUCAUGAACGAGGAAUUCCCAGUAAGUGCAAGUCAUAAGCUUGCGCUGACUACGCCCCUGCCCUUUGUACACACCGCCCGUCGCUACUACCGAUUGAAUGAUUUAGUGAGGACUUCGGACUGGGACCGAUGCGGCUUUCGGGCUGCGUCGGUAUUCUGGAAAGAUGUCCAAACUGUAUCAUUUAGAGGAAGUAAAAGUCGUAACA
RNAcentral lists this ribosomal RNA (327 nucleotides) under uncultured eukaryote. Its description in RNAcentral is "partial 18S ribosomal RNA". It matches the Rfam family "Eukaryotic small subunit ribosomal RNA", at positions 1470 to 1796 of the family's 1831-position model. The record is from RNAcentral.